CGAAACCCGGUGAUCUAGCCAUGGGCAGGUUGAAGGUUGGGUAACACUAACUGGAGGACCGAACCGACUAAUGUUGAAAAAUUAGCGGAUGACUUGUGGCUGGGGGGGAAAGGCCAAUCAAACCGGGAGAUAGCUGGUUCUCCCCGAAAGCUAUUUAGGUAGCGCCUCGUGAAUUCAUCUCCGGGGGUAGAGCACUGUUUCGGCAAGGGGGUCAUCCCGACUUACCAACCCGAUGCAAACUGCGAAUACCGGAGAAUGUUAUCACGGGAGACACACGGCGGGUGCUAACGUCCGUCGUGAAGAGGGAAACAACCCAGACCGCCAGCUAAGGUCCCAAAGUCAUGGUUAAGUGGGAAACGAUGUGGGAAGGCCCAGACAGCCAGGAUGUUGGCUUAGAAGCAGCCAUCAUUUAAAGAAAGCGUAAUAGCUCACUGGUCGAGUCGGCCUGCGCGGAAGAUGUAACGGGGCUAAACCAUGCACCGAAGCUGCGGCAGCGACACUAUGUGUUGUUGGGUAGGGGAGCGUUCUGUAAGCCUGUGAAGGUGGCCUGUGAGGGUUGCUGGAGGUAUCAGAAGUGCGAAUGCUGACAUAAGUAACGAUAAAGCGGGUGAAAAGCCCGCUCGCCGGAAGACCAAGGGUUCCUGUCCAACGUUAAUCGGGGCAGGGUGAGUCGACCCCUAAGGCGAGGCCGAAAGGCGUAGUCGAUGGGAAACAGGUUAAUAUUCCUGUACUUGGUGUUACUGCGAAGGGGGGACGGAGAAGGCUAUGUUGGCCGGGCGACGGUUGUCCCGGUUUAAGCGUGUAGGCUGGUUUUCCAGGCAAAUCCGGAAAAUCAAGGCUGAGGCGUGAUGACGAGGCACUACGGUGCUGAAGCAACAAAUGCCCUGCUUCCAGGAAAAGCCUCUAAGCAUCAGGUAACAUCAAAUCGUACCCCAAACCGACACAGGUGGUCAGGUAGAGAAUACCAAGGCGCUUGAGAGAACUCGGGUGAAGGAACUAGGCAAAAUGGUGCCGUAACUUCGGGAGAAGGCACGCUGAUAUGUAGGUGAAGUCCCUCGCGGAUGGAGCUGAAAUCAGUCGAAGAUACCAGCUGGCUGCAACUGUUUAUUAAAAACACAGCACUGUGCAAACACGAAAGUGGACGUAUACGGUGUGACGCCUGCCCGGUGCCGGAAGGUUAAUUGAUGGGGUUAGCGCAAGCGAAGCUCUUGAUCGAAGCCCCGGUAAACGGCGGCCGUAACUAUAACGGUCCUAAGGUAGCGAAAUUCCUUGUCGGGUAAGUUCCGACCUGCACGAAUGGCGUAAUGAUGGCCAGGCUGUCUCCACCCGAGACUCAGUGAAAUUGAACUCGCUGUGAAGAUGCAGUGUACCCGCGGCAAGACGGAAAGACCCCGUGAACCUUUACUAUAGCUUGACACUGAACAUUGAGCCUUGAUGUGUAGGAUAGGUGGGAGGCUUUGAAGUGUGGACGCCAGUCUGCAUGGAGCCGACCUUGAAAUACCACCCUUUAAUGUUUGAUGUUCUAACGUUGGCCCGUUAUCCGGGUUGCGGACAGUGUCUGGUGGGUAGUUUGACUGGGGCGGUCUCCUCCUAAAGAGUAACGGAGGAGCACGAAGGUUGGCUAAUCCUGGUCGGACAUCAGGAGGUUAGUGCAAUGGCAUAAGCCAGCUUGACUGCGAGCGUGACGGCGCGAGCAGGUGCGAAAGCAGGUCAUAGUGAUCCGGUGGUUCUGAAUGGAAGGGCCAUCGCUCAACGGAUAAAAGGUACUCCGGGGAUAACAGGCUGAUACCGCCCAAGAGUUCAUAUCGACGGCGGUGUUUGGCACCUCGAUGUCGGCUCAUCACAUCCUGGGGCUGAAGUAGGUCCCAAGGGUAUGGCUGUUCGCCAUUUAAAGUGGUACGCGAGCUGGGUUUAGAACGUCGUGAGACAGUUCGGUCCCUAUCUGCCGUGGGCGCUGGAGAACUGAGGGGGGCUGCUCCUAGUACGAGAGGACCGGAGUGGACGCAUCACUGGUGUUCGGGUUGUCAUGCCAAUGGCACUGCCCGGUAGCUAAAUGCGGAAGAGAUAAGUGCUGAAAGCAUCUAAGCACGAAACUUGCCCCGAGAUGAGUUCU
RNAcentral lists this ribosomal RNA (2113 nucleotides) under Escherichia coli 1-392-07_S1_C2. Its description in RNAcentral is "bacterial LSU rRNA". It matches the Rfam family "Bacterial large subunit ribosomal RNA", at positions 716 to 2812 of the family's 2925-position model. Lineage: Bacteria; Pseudomonadati; Pseudomonadota; Gammaproteobacteria; Enterobacterales; Enterobacteriaceae. The record is from RNAcentral.